RNAcentral lists this non-coding RNA (974 nucleotides) under Dipodomys ordii (Ord's kangaroo rat). RNAcentral's name for it is "Bacterial small subunit ribosomal RNA". It matches the Rfam family "Bacterial small subunit ribosomal RNA". The record is from Rfam by way of RNAcentral. Lineage: Eukaryota; Metazoa; Chordata; Mammalia; Rodentia; Heteromyidae.
AAACACAAAGGUUUGGUCCUAGCCUUAAUAUUAGCUGUCAGUAGAUUUACACAUGCAAAUAUCCGUAAGCCAGUGAGUUCAGCCCUAUGUUCUCUAAAGACUACAAGGAGCAAGUAUAAAGCACGCGUGAUAAUUACACGCAGCUAAAAACACUAAGUUUAACCACACCCCCACGGGAUACAGCAGUGAUAAAAUUUAAGCAAUGAACGAAAGUUUGACUAAGUCAUACUGACAAAAACAGGGUUGGUAAAUUUCGUGCCAGCCACCGCGGUCAUACGAAAGACCCAAGUUAAUAUUCUACCGGCGUAAAGAGUGCUUAAAUAUUUAUCAAAUAGAGCUAAGACUAGUCUUCGCUGUAAAAAGCCAAAGCCAAAGUAAAAAUCAAUAACGAAAGUAACUCUAAUUUUUGUAGCACUAAAGCUAUUACCUAAACUGGGAUUAGAUACCCCACUAUAAUUAGCCAUAAACAUAAGUAGUUCAUAACAUUACUACUCGCCAGAGAAAUACAAGCCACCGCUUAAAACUCAAAGGACUUGGCGGUGCUUUAUAUCCACCUAGAGGAGCCUGUUCCAUAACCGAUGAUCCCCGAUUUACCUCACCACUCCUUGCUAAUUCAGCCUAUAUACCGCCAUCUUCAGUUAACCCUUAAAAAGGAAAUAAAGUAAGCUUAAUCAGUAUUACUAAAGAAGUUAGGUCAAGGUGUAGCCCAUGGAGUGGAGCGAAAUGGGCUACAUUUUCUAUUACUAGAACAUUACGAAACUCUACGUGAAAUCCGUAGAAUAAAGGAGGAUUUUAGUAGUAAAUUAAAACUAGAGUGUUAAUUGAAUAGAGCAAUGAAGCACGCACACACCGCCCGUCACCCUCCUCAAUUUCUCAACAAUUAAAAGUACAUAACACCUAAUUACAAAAGAUUGAGAGGAGACAAGUCGUAACAAGGUAAGUGUACUGGAAAGUGCACUUGGAAAAAUCAAAAU